CAAUAGCGUAUAUUAAAGUUGUUGCGGUUAAAAGCUCGUAGUUGGAUUUCUGCUGAGGACGACCGGUCCGCCCUCUGGGUGAGUAUCUGGCUCGGCCUUGGCAUCUUCUUGGUGAACGUAUCUGCACUUGACUGUGUGGUGCGGUGGCCAGGACUUUUACUUUGAGGAAAUUAGAGUGUUUCAAGCAGGCAUACGCCUUGAAUACAUUAGCAUGGAAUAAUAAGAUAGGACUUUGGUACUAUUUUGUUGGUUUGCAUACCAAGGUAAUGAUUAAGAGGGACAGUUGGGGGUAUUCGUAUUUAAUUGUCAGAGGUGAAAUUCUUGGAUUUAUGAAAGACGAACUACUGCGAAAGCAUUUACCAAGGAUGUUUUCAUUAAUCAAGAACGAAAGUUAGGGGAUCAAAGACGAUUAGAUACCG
RNAcentral lists this ribosomal RNA (419 nucleotides) under uncultured eukaryote. RNAcentral describes it as "SSU rRNA". It matches the Rfam family "Eukaryotic small subunit ribosomal RNA", at positions 592 to 1017 of the family's 1831-position model. The record is from RNAcentral.